This is a non-coding RNA of Pimephales promelas (fathead minnow), 922 nucleotides long. The record is from RefSeq and is a predicted model, not a curated record. NCBI's taxonomy places the organism in Eukaryota, Metazoa, Chordata, Actinopteri, Cypriniformes, Leuciscidae.
CUGAAACAGGAAUUGCUUCUGGACCAGUGUUGUUUACAUCUUGUGAAAUGGUCUAUAACUAAUAAUUCAAUUUGCACUUGCCUGACUUCUCUCAUCUCCGAAGAUCAGGGACAUGUAAGUUGACUCUUAAACUGUGUAAAUUGUGAAAUCCUGGUGCUCUUCACUUUACAAUAUUAAGUAGUUCAUGUAUUUCCAUUUUCAUGCGUUUUUGGUGAAGUUUGCUUUGUCUUAUAUUUCCACACAUGUGUGUGCUGUUUUAGUUCAGAGACCUUCAAGCUAGCGGCUAAUUCCGAAAAGCAGCAAAUCUAAAAUUUGCACCCUUGGUGAGCGGAGUAAGGAUUGGUCCUGGAUCUAACAACACGCUGAUUUUGAUUGGAUCAGAGGAGAGGCCUGGACCAUAAAUUCCCUGGAAUACCACUAGAGGGGGCGCUCUGCCAUUGAUUGCAACUGGGGUUGUACUGUGUGUUUGCGCUCUGUGAAAAUGUAGCACAAUCGUGUGAUUAAUGUGCUAUUGUAUGGUUUCUUUGAUCCUGAGUGAUUUGUGCUAAAACGCCAGUGUUGAUGAUCUCAUCUGUAUGUGUAUGAUUAUUUGAGAAGCCGUAGGGGGUGAGUACCUUGUUUCUUUUGUAGGCUGAAAGGCCUUUGUUUUUCUCCUGUUUAUUGGUAGUUAAGGAGGUAGGGUAUUUCAUUGUAUGUUUUGUUUUCUUUUAUUUUAAUUCAUAGGUAAGGUAGUUUCUUUGGGGAAAGCUAGUUCUGUUUGGUUUAUUAUUUUGGCAUUAGCUCACCCCUGAAGAUCUUGCUUCUAAUCUUUUUCCUGUUUGUUUUCUUUGUUAAUUUAUUUUCCAGAUAUUGUUUUGGUGAAUGAUAAGAAAUGCUGCUUUUGAAACAAAUCCAGAAUGAUAAUAAAUUCAAGCUAACUGAA